This is an RNA transcript of Canis lupus familiaris (dog), 5580 nucleotides long. It is a transcript of the gene named solute carrier family 17 member 1, with no coding region annotated. NCBI's taxonomy places the organism in Eukaryota, Metazoa, Chordata, Mammalia, Carnivora, Canidae. The record is from RefSeq and is a predicted model, not a curated record. The transcript has 14 exons.
AAGCUUUUGAUAGAGUGAAGUCAAAGGAUUUGGUGAAGGAUUAAUGGACUAAAACUGGAAAUUCCAGAAAUUCAGUACAUUUUAAAGUUUGAAGGCUUCCCAAGGGAAGACAGGAUUGCUUCUCCUCAAUCAGUGGAGACCAAACCCUUCAGUCAGAAGAGGAGAAACUGGAAUCCAUUAUGCAAAUGGACAACCAGAUCACUCCCAAGAAAGUUCGAAGUUUUUGUUCCUUCCGCUAUGGAUUAUCUCUCCUCUUGCAUCUCUGUAACGUUGCAUUAAUGGCACAGAACAUGUGUCUGAACCUCACAAUGGUAAUCAUGGUGAACAGCACAGGUCCACACAGUUUGCCUAAUACCUCCACAGAGGAGCACCUGGAUAACAUAAAGAACCCCGUGUAUAACUGGAGUCCUAAAAUCCAAGGCAUCAUCUUCAGUUCCAUCUUCUAUGGUGUACUCAUCACCCAAAUUCCUGUUGGAUACUUGUCUGAAAAAUACUCCAUCAAGAAAAUGAUUGGCUUUUCAUUAUUCCUCAGCUCUCUACUUAGUCUGUUAAUGCCAAUGGCAGCUGAAGGUGGUGCAGCUUUCCUCCUGGCAUGCCGAGUAGCCCAGGGAGUAGCCCAGGGGUCGGCAUUAAUAUCUCAGCACAUGAUAUGGGUCAAGUGGGCUCCUCCCUUGGAACGAGGCCGACUUACUACCUUGAGUCUAUCAGGAAAUCUGCUGGGGUCCUUCAUUGUUCUGCUUGUGACUGGAUUCAUCUGCCAGUCCCUGGGCUGGCCCAUGGUCUUCUAUAUUUUUGGUGCUUGUGGCUGUGCCCUAAGUCUUCUCUGGUUCGUUCUCUUUUAUGAUGACCCAAAGGACCACCCAUGUAUAAGCAUCAGUGAGAAGGAAUACAUCUUGUCCUGCCUCAACCAGCAGGUCAGCUCAAGCACACAGUCUCUGCCAAUCAAAGCUAUGAUUAAGUCUCUUCCAUUCUGGGCCAUUGCUUUCGGUUCUUUUGCUUUUCACUGGACAAAUACCAUUAUGGUUUUGUACACUCCAACGUUUAUCAAGGCCAAGCUUCACGUGAACAUAAAAGAGAAUGGGCUGCUGUCAGCUCUCCCUUAUUUGUUUGCCUGGAGCUUUGGCAUCCUAGUAGGUCACCUGACAGACUUCUUCCUGUCCAGGAAUAUUCUCCGCUUAAUUACCAUCCGGAAACUCUUCAACACUCUAGGACUUCUCCUGCCUGCCUUCUUCAGUUUGUGUCUGCUCUACCUGAGUUCCAGCAUUUAUAGCAUGACCAUUUUUCUGAUACUUGCCAGUUCAACAGGAAGCUUUUGUAUGGGUGGAGUACUUAUAAAUGGCUUGGAUAUCGCUCCCAGUUUUUACGGAUUCCUUAAAGGAGUUACAGCUGUAAUUGGGAUGAUAGGAAGACUAAUUUCUUCUACUCUGUGUGGAGUGAUCCUUAAUCAGGAUCCGGAAUCUGCCUGGUUUAAAAUUUUCAUCCUGAUGGCAGUCAUUGACGUGUUAUGCCUACUUUUCUGUCUCGUAUUUGGAAAAGCAGAUAUUCAGGACUGGGCUAAAGGCAAUCAAGAGCACACACGCCUCUGAAGUGUAAAACAGAACACUAAGAGAGCCUGGGACUGACCUCCUUAUUGAAGGGAAGAGGGGCCAGCCUGGUACCUGAGACUGAGAGGCAGUCAGCGUCCCGAGGAAGAAGAUGGAAUGCCUGGAGCUGACCCUUGGUUAAGCCUGAGUGAAACGUGCUGACUAGUGAUUAGUAUAGUCCUGUGGGAUGGUCUGAGACUCCCAAAGGUAACCUGUACUAGUCAACAUCAUUUAUACAAAAUAUACAAAUUGAUGGUUUGCAUCUAGGUUAUGUUCUCUUAGUUUCUGCUAUGGAACCUGCUCUUGCAACCUUUUCUUUGGGCAAAAACAAGACUCCUCACUGGAUGAGAUGUUGGCUCCCCUGAGGCCAAGACAUCUUCCAUGGGUCACUGUGGUUGGUUAUCUGAAGAUAGAAUGUGUUCUACUGACUGAAAGGAUCCUGUGAGCUGUGUUUGGAAGUCCCAGGCAUCUUUGAUACUACCUCUGCCAAAGGUCAGCGUUUCUCUUGCUAUCCUGUUAGUAAAGCUUUCCCUUUAUUAAAGCCUUCUGUGUGCUGGCACCAUGGGGUAUUAUGGAUCUUUCAGUGACCUAGCCCCAUGUGACUGCUGCAUCCUCCAAUAGAGAUAUUGGUGUGAGCUGUCUCCUGUCCCUGGUUAAGCUAUGAGCAUAGCCACUAUAUCCUCGUUUUCACCUAAAAAACUCAGUUCACAGUAGUAGACUAGUUUUGGGCUCCUUCCAGGAAUUAUUUGGAUAUAGGACUGGUGCUGAUAUGUCCUGUAACCCCUGGCACGUAUCCUUUACAUGUAACUGGUGCAUCAGAGCAAGUUUAGGGCUGUUAGACUUGAGCUGAGCUUCUGUGAGGAUGAAGCAAAGGGGAUCCUACCGAGGAACAAUAUCCAAGAAGUUAAUGAGGGCUCCUGCAUAGCAGAAAGUGGUGGUAGAAGAUAGGGCCAAGGAGACCAUACUGGUGCUGAGGUUGGAUCUGACCCAAUGCAGGGACACGAGAACCACAGAUGGGACGACAACCCCUAGAGCAGGAGGGCAAACACAGAGUGAAUAAAAACCUCCCUGAACUUCCCACAUCCAUCCUAGGAUACACCUCAGUGCUUACCUAUGGCAGUGGAGAACUUCCUGAUGGUCAUGAGUCUGAGAAUUUUUCUGGAGAGAAGAAAAUCUGCCAGUAGACCUCCAAGGAUAGUGCUGAUGAAGGCAAUACUUAUCAGCAGGGCUGACAGGAUUCUACUCUGAGGACCAGAGAUUAGUAAGGUGCAUACCUCACUGCCCACAUCACGACAUAGAUUGAUCCUUGGGUGGCUUAUCUAUGUGUAUAGUUUUUCUUUAUAUACCUAUCUCCUUUAAUACAAAUUUCAUAUUACUGGAAUGAGCCAACACAAUUUUAGUGUCUGAGAAAAACUAUAGUUUUUCAAUAUAUAGUUCAAUUUGCCAAAAAAAAAAAAAAGACUAAUGUUCUCUUUAUAUGUAAAGAUCAUCUGGAAAUAGAUUUUUAAAAGAUCAAAUUCAGUAGAAAAAUAGGCAAAAGAUAUGGACAAUUUACAAAAAAAGGAAAAUAAGUGGUUCCUGAAUAUAUAAAAGGUAUCCAACCUCAUAGUAAAAAAGCCUACUUUUUCAUGGCUCCAACUGGCAAAAAUCCCACAGAUUUUUGACCUGAUCUGCAGGGAUGCUAUGAGAAACUGGGUACUUGUAGAUACUAUCAGUGCCCUGUGGAGAGCAAUUUGAUAAUAGAUCUAGAAGUUUAUACUGCAUUUAACCCUUAUCUCAGAUAUAUAGAAACAGUUGCACAGAUGUAUGGCAAAUGAGCACGGUUUUCACUGCAGCAUCACUCAAAGAUGGGAAACAACCCAAAUGUCUCUCAGUAAGGUUCCCAUGUGCUGACUGGAAAGAUCACCAUGGUGUAGUAUACAAAGAAUAGCAGCAUAUACAGCACAUAAUGUUUUGUGUAAAAAAAAAAAAAAAAAACAAGUGAGAAAAUAACAAUAAUGUUUUGUGUAAAAAAAAAAGUGAGAAAAUAACAAGAUACAUUCAUGUAUGCUUGCAUCCUCAUAAAGAAACAGUGGAAGAAUAUAUAAGGAAUGAAUAAGAAAGAGUUAUCUGUGGCUGGGAGGGGCUGAGAGAACAGAGCAGACUGAGGACAGGAAUGGGAAUAAGAUGUUUUCACUCCUACCUCUCUAUAUACUUUUUAAAAUAUUGAGCCCUGUUUUGAUCCCUUCACCUUCUGUAUUAUGGUACUAUUACAGAAAAGGUGAGGAAAAGAAUGCUGUCCUUUAUUGUGUAUAACCCCCAAACGGAAAGGCUUAACUGUCGCCUUGUCCCAACUGUUUAUAUUAUGGAUGCAUAAACCAAAAAAAGGUUCUGUGACUUAGGGAGAAACCAUCCUGAGAGCAAUGGGAGUCUGACUUCCCAGGCUGGGAAAGCCUACUGUCUGGUCUCAACUGAUCUUUCCAGUCAUUCCCAACAGCUGGCCUCGGGCACGUCUGGGCCUCAUGUACCCUGAUGGCUUCACCGGAGUUUCUGGUUUCAUUGCCUGCUUCUGGAUCUCCUUUUGUGAAGACCCUUAGCCACUCAGCCCGUGGGCUUUCUGAUCUCUGUACCUCCAGCCUGCUUGCAUGCAUGCACCGGGACUUCAGCUCAGAAAGUCAGCUCUCUGUUGGCCAGUUAGCAUGUUUUCAACCAGAGGAGCCCAGUUAACACGAUAACACUGCUUUUUGAAUACAAAACACAAGAAUGUAAACAGCAAUUCAAUAACCUUGGAAGCUGCUACUAAUAGGCUACAAAAUCUGAUAAGCUCGUUGCCAUUUUUAAGACCUCCAUCUUGUGGGCAUUGUCCUUUCUGCCAGUCAGAGCAUAUGUUCAUUUUGUGAAAAAUCAGAGAGCUGUACACAUACAUGCACUUUUCUCUGUAUGUGUCAUACCUGAAUUUUAAAAAAAUGUAGAAGAACAUUAUCUGCAAGAUUUUGGUAGCAGUCCUAUUUGGGACUUGAUGUCUACUAAUCAUCUCGUUUUCAGCUUGUUGUUUGUGCUUCUCUUCUCUCGAAGGCAGAACUUGUUUUGUUAAUGCUGUAUUGUUUAUGCUGCCAGCAGAAUAUCUUGUUUACAAAUGUUGAUUGGAUUGAACAUAAAAGUUUGUGUAGGUCUCUUAAAAAAUAGGACAUUCUGUGAAUGUCACACUUACCUAGAACCACACCAGUCUUCCCCAAUAAGCUGUGGGUCACAGUGAGAUGAAUCAGAAUUCAUGCAACCAAUUUGCAUUUCCUGCAUGAAGAUCCUGGACCUAAUCCCCUGAUUUUGUGGCCCAAAGUGAGACAGAGGAUUAUAUAAUGAAGCAUCUAAACAGAAAGACAGGAUAGACUUUCUCUAUACUUACAUCUCUGAGGUUAGCUUAAAGUACAGAGCUAAUGUAUGUUGGCAUAUAUGCUAUGAAAAAAUAAAAAAUCCAAUAUUCACUGAAAUAAAAGACUAAAAUGCCCCAAAGUGGUAGGGAUUUGAUCAUAGCCUUUACGGGAAGAGACCGCCUGUGAACAGUCCUGGAAGAAAGCAGAUAUCAAUAUCCCUCCAUCAGGAAGACAAGAGCUUUGCUCUAAUGCCCUCUUCACCCCUGAGACACCUGGGCAGACGAGGGAAAUGGCAGAUAAGUUCAUCAAAUGUACCUGUUGAUCCAGUGAAUACAUGAUAUAUUCCUUCUCACCGGUACUGAUAGAUAGAUGAUCUAUGGGGUCAUUAUAAACAAGAGGAAACCAGAGAACAAAACAGGCACAGCCAAUUCCACCUAGGAAGAGGAUCCAGUUAGCCCUUGAUAGGAGUUGUUUUAGUUGACUGCACUGAGGUGAUUCCUGUGGUUGAUAGAAUGACUGACCCUAAUAUUCCACUCCUACCUGUAUCCAUACUGCGGCCCUAUCAUUGGCAGGGGGUGCUUCCCAGCCACUUAUAUUGGACAACCCAAUGUUAUCAGUAUUGAGCAGAAAUAAAAUUCAUCUUAAAA